Molecule: ribosomal RNA, 453 nt
Filed under: Staphylococcus aureus
Lineage: Bacteria; Bacillati; Bacillota; Bacilli; Caryophanales; Staphylococcaceae
Description: partial 23S ribosomal RNA
Rfam family: Bacterial large subunit ribosomal RNA
Source: RNAcentral
UAAGGCUAAAUACUCUCUAGUGACCGAUAGUGAACCAGUACCGUGAGGGAAAGGUGAAAAGCACCCCGGAAGGGGAGUGAAAUAGAACCUGAAACCGUGUGCUUACAAGUAGUCAGAGCCCGUUAAUGGGUGAUGGCGUGCCUUUUGUAGAAUGAACCGGCGAGUUACGAUUUGAUGCAAGGUUAAGCAGUAAAUGUGGAGCCGUAGCGAAAGCGAGUCUGAAUAGGGCGUUUAGUAUUUGGUCGUAGACCCGAAACCAGGUGAUCUACCCUUGGUCAGGUUGAAGUUCAGGUAACACUGAAUGGAGGACCGAACCGACUUACGUUGAAAAGUGAGCGGAUGAACUGAGGGUAGCGGAGAAAUUCCAAUCGAACCUGGAGAUAGCUGGUUCUCUCCGAAAUAGCUUUAGGGCUAGCCUCAAGUGAUGAUUAUUGGAGGUAGAGCACUGUUUGG